This 258-nucleotide unclassified non-coding RNA is filed under the name Hevea brasiliensis (rubber tree). The record is from RNAcentral. Lineage: Eukaryota; Viridiplantae; Streptophyta; Magnoliopsida; Malpighiales; Euphorbiaceae.
AAAAAUUUCAUUAAAAGCUAGUUUCCUCCCACUUUUUUAAAUUUAACCAAAAUACCUUACAUUAAUUGAUUUUAUUUCUUUUUUUUAUUCUGUUAAUUUUUCGUCUUUAUGUUAAUUAUAAUUAAAAUAUUUUUCCUUAAUCGCAUUGAUUCACAUUAUUUAGAUUCCAUUUAUUUUUCAGAAAAUAUUUUCCUUGAAAAUAUUUUUUUCAUUUUUUAGCGUUUGGGCACUCAAAAAAUGGGUCAACGAAAAAUAUUU